Molecule: ribosomal RNA, 494 nt
Filed under: marine sediment bacterium ISA-7098
Lineage: Bacteria
Description: bacterial SSU rRNA
Rfam family: Bacterial small subunit ribosomal RNA
Source: RNAcentral
UGCCUAAUACAUGCAAGUCGAGCGAACUGAUUAGAAGCUUGCUUCUAUGACGUUAGCGGCGGACGGGUGAGUAACACGUGGGCAACCUGCCUGUAAGACUGGGAUAACUUCGGGAAACCGAAGCUAAUACCGGAUAGGAUCUUCUCCUUCAUGGGAGAUGAUUGAAAGAUGGUUUCGGCUAUCACUUACAGAUGGGCCCGCGGUGCAUUAGCUAGUUGGUGAGGUAACGGCUCACCAAGGCAACGAUGCAUAGCCGACCUGAGAGGGUGAUCGGCCACACUGGGACUGAGACACGGCCCAGACUCCUACGGGAGGCAGCAGUAGGGAAUCUUCCGCAAUGGACGAAAGUCUGACGGAGCAACGCCGCGUGAGUGAUGAAGGCUUUCGGGUCGUAAAACUCUGUUGUUAGGGAAGAACAAGUACGAGAGUAACUGCUCGUACCUUGACGGUACCUAACCAGAAAGCCACGGCUAACUACGUGCCAGCAGCCGCGG